This 305-nucleotide ribosomal RNA is filed under the name uncultured bacterium. RNAcentral describes it as "bacterial SSU rRNA". It matches the Rfam family "Bacterial small subunit ribosomal RNA", at positions 337 to 659 of the family's 1533-position model. The record is from RNAcentral.
UCCUACGGGGGGCAGCAGUGGGGAAUAUUGGACAAUGGGCGAAAGCCUGAUCCAGCAAUGCCGCGUGAGUGAUGAAGGCCUUAGGGUUGUAAAGCUCUUUUACCCGGGAUGAUAAUGGCAGUACCGGGAGAAUAAGCUCCGGCUAACUCCGUGCCAGCAGCCGCGGUAAUACGGAGGGAGCUAGCGUUAUUCGGAAUUACUGGGCGUAAAGCGCACGUAGGCGGCUUUGUAAGUUAGAGGUGAAAGCCUGGAGCUCAACUCCAGAAUUGCCUUUAAGACUGCAUCGCUUGAAUCCAGGAGAGGUG